This 72-nucleotide transfer RNA is filed under the name Methanosarcinales archaeon. RNAcentral describes it as "tRNA-Thr". It matches the Rfam family "tRNA". From Rfam's summary of the family: Transfer RNA (tRNA) molecules are approximately 80 nucleotides in length. Their secondary structure includes four short double-helical elements and three loops (D, anti-codon, and T loops). The record is from RNAcentral. Lineage: Archaea; Methanobacteriati; Methanobacteriota; Methanomicrobia; Methanosarcinales.
GCCUCGGUGGCUUAGUGGUAUAGCGCAUCCUUGGUAAGGAUGAGGUCGCGGGUUCAAUCCCCGCCCGAGGCU